AAAGUGUGAAUAUUCAACAGUAGUGAUAUUGCUCGGAGUCUCUCCAGGUUGCCAACACUGUAGAAGAGCUUGGUCCUGGAUAUGUUUUGGAGGUAAAACAGCGUAUCAGCCCUGAUUCACAGAAGAUGAACAGGAGAGAACUAGAGUUAACCCCAGGUGUUUGCAGCUGGGCCACUGCUAGGCAAGACUUUGCUGUUUAAUCCCAUUUGGAUGUGAUUUAUGGUGAAAUCUUGCUUGUACAAAUAAAGCCUGUCUGAAGGUCAAAGAAUGGAGCUUGCCACUAGUUAACCAUAGAGGUCUGGAGGUCUGUACAGACAGACAGGAAGUGAAGCAGCUGGGCAGAAACAGGAUAUAAGCCGGGAGAAACAGAAAUUCUCUCUUGUCUGCUGAGACACUAAGGAGGUCACUAUGUUUUUAAGAUCUCAACAUGCCUACAAAACUCCUGGUAUUCUUUAAAGUGGACCUGAGAGUCUGUACAAGUCCCCCUCCCCCCAUGAUGCCCACAUUCUAUGACAGACCACAUUUUGAGGAUCCAGAGGUGAAAGAAAUCAAAUAUACUUUGAACCCUGAGCUUGUGAAACAAAGCAUAUGUAUUUCCUGGCAACGUGGGACUCAUAGAGCUUCUGCCGUUGUGAGAUGAAAGAACAAACACACAACAGCCCAGCAGGACACAGUGAGAUUCCUUAGGGGUCACUAGUGGAGACAGCAUGGCCCCAACCACAUUUUGACCCUGGAAAAUAUUUCCACAGUGUUCCAGCUGUUUUCCCCACCAGAUUAUGCCUUCUAGUUAGUCUUGAUUCUUGUUCCCAUCAAAAAUAUUUGAGGUGAAAGAGUAAAUUUAGCCAAGACCAACAAAAUCUCUGAAGGCUUCACCACUGUUCUCUCAGUCCCCUGUUUCCAUAACACGUGGCUGGGUCUUGCUUAACCUGCCGUGAUCAGCUGAGUGGCCAUGGUGAGAAGCCAGAGUGUUUUCUAAAUAAGCUUAUUUCUGCAUCGGUUUGAACUGACCUGAAAAAUGUAUUUGUUCCAUUUGGGCCUUUCUGAGCAAACAAUGUCCACUUUGUGUUGUGUACACCACCUAAUUAUUUCAGAUUCCACAGCAUCAAUUCACAGAAAAUGAUCCAGGUUACUUAUGCUCUUGACCCAGUUGUCCUUUAGAGGUGGAUAUAUGCACAAAGGAACACACUAUGCUGAAUUUAUCUUAGUUGAAGUCUUAGGAAGCCCUGAAUUUUUAUCAUUAUAUGUUAAUAAAAAUAGACAUUUAUUGU
This 1268-nucleotide long non-coding RNA is filed under the name Cricetulus griseus (Chinese hamster). Its description in RNAcentral is "lncRNA (ENSCGRG00015029869.1)". Lineage: Eukaryota; Metazoa; Chordata; Mammalia; Rodentia; Cricetidae. The record is from RNAcentral.